Capsicum annuum is the source of this 167-nucleotide long non-coding RNA. RefSeq lists it as uncharacterized. NCBI's taxonomy places the organism in Eukaryota, Viridiplantae, Streptophyta, Magnoliopsida, Solanales, Solanaceae. The record is from RefSeq and is a predicted model, not a curated record. The transcript is spliced from 3 exons.
ACCAUGGGUUCCAAUGCACGAGAUCUUGUAGCACUUACCAAUGAGGUCCUAUCGAUUAGUAUUACACAGAAGAAAUCAAUUAUAGACACUAAUACAAUUAGAUCCGCUCUUCAUAGACAAACUUGGGAUUUGCGAUCCCAGGUAAGAUCGGUUCAGGAUCAUGGAAU